AUCGGUGUCCAGGCGGACUAGGGUCUCGGUGCCCCGCCGCGCCACGGAGCAGUGCUCACGUUUCUUGCUCCUCCAGCUUAGGUAUCUUCGAGUGAGGGGAAACGGUGAGGUGUUCCUCGUCUUUACCAUUCCACUGCGGUGGAUGAGAGAGCCCCAGUCUCCAUGCUACGGAGCUCAGGUUCAGUGGGGGACUUAGACGGAUCACCAUCACCAGUGGUUCAGCCUCUCAGAUGGAGCCCUGAUACACUCCGUAAGCAGAGACUCCUGGUGUCUGUGGAGUUAUUGUUACCUCAAGCUGCUGUUCAUGGAGGAAGUUGCAGUGGGUUUCCUGUUCCUCUCCCGCAUAAGAAGAGGAUGUUUUCUUCUCCAUUCCCCAAAAGGCUGACGCAAAAAUGUGAGAUUGGCAUCUUAUUCACAGAAAGAACAAGUAGAAGUCAUAUUUGUACCCCUACCAUGUUCAGUCUGUUCAAUCUACAAAUGACAAAAUGAUUAUCAUCCCCAAACUGAGACCGUUAACCUGUAUUCUGCUCCUGACCCCUGUUUGACAAGCUUCAAGCUCUCACAUUAUGCCUGUAAUUUGCUGCUUAAAGGUGUUCAAGGAUCAGCAUCCAGGGGCUUGCUAGAAAUGCAGAAUCCCUUGCCCCUCCACUCCUGGACUUACUGAAUCAAAACAUGCAUUUUGACCAAAUCUGUCAGUGAUUCGUAUGCAUAUUGAAGUUUAAGAAGGUGCCAUCUACAUGACUUUGGGGGGAUAAAACCUUUAUUAGCAUUAAUACCCAGAGAUGGAUUCUUAUCACUGGCUUCUUGGAUAUACAGUUUUAAAAUUUAUGAUGACUAUCUGGCACAUUUUAGACCAUCCUGCUCUAAUUUCCUCAUAACAUUUGGCCUUUUUAUGACCAUGUUAACUGAAACAUGAACUGGGCCAGCUGAGAGACCCAGAAGGUGAGUCUUAGAAAGUGAAGAGCUGGAAAGAUGUGGCAGAGGUCACUAAGGAUGCUUCAACACCCAAAGCAACAACUCUGUACCAAGUGUGUCCACAUAUACUAAGAGUAGGAAGUACACACAGGAUUGAUUUACAGCAUCAUGAGUUUGGUGGUUUCAGGAAUGGAGAGCAGGAAGAAGGAACAGAAGGGGGAAGGGUUUAAUUUGCUUCUACAACAUUUUAUUUCUAAAAAGAAGAGAUCUGGUGCAAGUAUAGUUAACUGUUUUCAUCUGGGAAAUGUAGAUGGCACAUGGGGGUCUCUUAGACUUAUUUCUGCACAAUCUGUAGAUUUGAAACCUUUAUCUAAAUUAAGAAAUUAGGGGCGCCUGGGUGGCUCAGUGGGUUAAGCCGCUGCCUUCGGCUCAGGUCAUGAUCCCAGGGUUCUGGGAUUGAGCACUGGAUCGGGCUCUCUGCUCAGCAGGGAGCUUGCUUCCCUUCCUCUCUUUCUGUCUGCCUCUCUGUCUACUUGUAAUCUCUGUCUGUCAAAUAAAUAAAUAAAAUCUUAAAAAAAGAAAUUAAGAAAUUAAACAUUUAAAACAGUGUGGGGAGGUACAUUCUAGGUGUCUUGUGGGUGGAUGAUAGGAGGAGACAGGCCACAGCAGGGAACCAGGACAGGUGAUGACAGAGUUGAGGCUUGGCAGGGGGCGGUGGGAGAGAUGAUCGAGUAGAGUGGAGGAUGCUUAUCCCUCAAUUAAGCCCUUUCCAGAGAGGAAAGCAGUGUUCUCAUUGGGACAUGACAUGUCAAGGUUCCCUCUCUCUCACCUCUGGGAUUUUCUUCCUCCUCUGUCCCCUACCUCCAUCACCCUUCUUCAUUAUCUUAAAUGGCUACCUCCUCCUCCUUCUUUACAUUUUACCUCAGAUGUGCCCUUCUAUGCAAGCCUUCUCUGACCACCCCCCCACCCCCCGCCUCCAGGUUGGUUGGAUUAACUUCUCUGGACUCUCAAAGGUAAGCCGCUCUCUGAUGAAAAAUGCCCUACGCCUGGGUGGCUCAUUGCGUUAAGCCUCUGCCUUCGACUCACAUCAUGGUCUUAGGUUCCUGGGAUCGAGCCCCACAUUGGGCCCUCUGCUCCACGGGGAGCCUGCUCCCGCCUCCUUGUGACCUCGCUCUCUUUCUCUGUCAAAUAAAUAAAUAAAAUAUUUUAAAAAUGCCCUAAACCCAAAGUAGUGUUUUUCUUCCCAAACAAAAAAAUAUCUUGGCACAUGUGAUUUAG
Long non-coding RNA from Mustela lutreola (European mink), 2193 nucleotides. RefSeq lists it as uncharacterized. The record is from RefSeq and is a predicted model, not a curated record. Lineage: Eukaryota; Metazoa; Chordata; Mammalia; Carnivora; Mustelidae. The transcript has 3 exons.